This 377-nucleotide ribosomal RNA is filed under the name uncultured Desulfocapsa sp. RNAcentral describes it as "bacterial SSU rRNA". It matches the Rfam family "Bacterial small subunit ribosomal RNA", at positions 1004 to 1382 of the family's 1533-position model. Lineage: Bacteria; Pseudomonadati; Thermodesulfobacteriota; Desulfobulbia; Desulfobulbales; Desulfocapsaceae. The record is from RNAcentral.
AACAGAGAGUGCCUCGCAAGAGGAGCCUGGAGACAGGUGCUGCAUGGCUGUCGUCAGCUCGUGUCGUGAGAUGUUGGUUAAGUCCGCAACGAGCGCAACCCCUAUCUUUAGUUGCCAUCAUUGAGUUGGGCACUCUAAAGAGACUGCCGGUGUCAAACCGGAGGAAGGUGGGGAUGACGUCAAGUCCUCAUGGCCUUUAUGACCAGGGCUACACACGUACUACAAUGGCCGGUACAAAGGGCAGCGACACAGCGAUGUGAAGCGAAUCCCGAAAAGCCGGUCUCAGUCCGGAUUGGAGUCUGCAACUCGACUCCAUGAAGUUGGAAUCGCUAGUAAUCGCGGAUCAGCACGCCGCGGUGAAUACGUUCCCGGGCCUU